AUCCACCUGACAAGUUCCAAAUAGGACGAAAUGCGCGUCCUGGAU
This 45-nucleotide non-coding RNA is filed under the name Schistosoma mansoni. Lineage: Eukaryota; Metazoa; Platyhelminthes; Trematoda; Strigeidida; Schistosomatidae. The record is from RNAcentral.